CCUACGGGAGGCAGCAGUGGGGAAUUUUGGACAAUGGGCGAAAGCCUGAUCCAGCAAUGCCGCGUGAGUGAAGAAGGCCUUCGGGUUGUAAAGCUCUUUUGUCAGGGAAGAAACGGUGCGGGCUAAUAUCCUGCACUAAUGACGGUACCUGAAGAAUAAGCACCGGCUAACUACGUGCCAGCAGCCGCGGUAAUACGUAGGGUGCAAGCGUUAAUCGGAAUUACUGGGCGUAAAGCGUGCGCAGGCGGUUUUGUAAGUCUGUCGUGAAAUCCCCGGGCUCAACCUGGGAAUUGCGAUGGAGACUGCAAGGCUAGAAUCUGGCAGAGGGGGGUAGAAUUCCACGUGUAGCAGUGAAAUGCGUAGAGAUGUGGAGGAACACCGAUGGCGAAGGCAGCCCCCUGGGUCAAGAUUGACGCUCAUGCACGAAAGCGUGGGGAGCAAACAGGAUUAGAUACCCUGGUAGUCCACGCCCUAAACGAUGUCUACUAGUUGUCGGGUUUUAAUUAACUUGGUAACGCAGCUAACGCGUGAAGUAGACCGCCUGGGGAGUACGGUCGCAAGNUUAAAACNCAAAGGAUUGACGG
This 584-nucleotide ribosomal RNA is filed under the name uncultured bacterium. RNAcentral describes it as "bacterial SSU rRNA". It matches the Rfam family "Bacterial small subunit ribosomal RNA", at positions 338 to 916 of the family's 1533-position model. The record is from RNAcentral.